RNAcentral lists this ribosomal RNA (253 nucleotides) under uncultured bacterium. Its description in RNAcentral is "partial 16S ribosomal RNA". It matches the Rfam family "Bacterial small subunit ribosomal RNA", at positions 524 to 776 of the family's 1533-position model. The record is from RNAcentral.
UACGGAGGGUGCAAGCGUUAUCCGGAUUUACUGGGUUUAAAGGGUGCGUAGGUGGGUUGGUAAGUCAGUGGUGAAAUCUUCGAGCUUAACUCGGAAACUGCCAUUGAUACUAUCAAUCUUGAAUUAUCUGGAGGUAAGCGGAAUAUGUCAUGUAGCGGUGAAAUGCUUAGAUAUCAGGAGGAACGCCUGUGGUGUAGACGGCUCUCUGGACCAUUACUGACACUGAGGUACGAAAGCGUGGGUAGCAAACAGG